UGAGGAAUAUUGGUCAAUGGGGGCAACCCUGAACCAGCCAAGUCGCGUGAAGGAUGAAGGUCUUAUGGAUUGUAAACUUCUUUUACACGGGAAUAAAGCGGGGGACGUGUCCCUCUUUGCAUGUACCGUGUGAAUAAGGAUCGGCUAACUCCGUGCCAGCAGCCGCGGUAAUACGGAGGAUCCGAGCGUUAUCCGGAUUUAUUGGUGUUAAAGGGUGCGCAGGCGGGAUGUUAAGUCGGCGGUGAAAUUUUGCAGCUCAACUGUAAAAGUGCCUUCGAUACUGGCCUUCUUGAGUGUGGAUGAAGUAGGCGGAAUUUGUGGUGUAGCGGUGAAAUGCUUAGAUAUCACGAGGAACUCCGAUUGCGCAGGCAGCUUACUAAGCCACAACUGACGCUCAUGCACGAAGGCGUGGGGAUCAAACA
This 422-nucleotide ribosomal RNA is filed under the name uncultured bacterium. Its description in RNAcentral is "bacterial SSU rRNA". It matches the Rfam family "Bacterial small subunit ribosomal RNA", at positions 355 to 774 of the family's 1533-position model. The record is from RNAcentral.